Molecule: ribosomal RNA, 424 nt
Filed under: uncultured bacterium
Lineage: Bacteria
Description: bacterial SSU rRNA
Rfam family: Bacterial small subunit ribosomal RNA
Source: RNAcentral
GAAUCUUGCGCAAUGGGCGAAAGCCUGACGCAGCGACGCCGCGUGAGUGAUGAAGGCCUUCGGGUUGUAAAGCUCUGUGGAGGGGGACGAAUAAGUCGGAGCGAAUAGCUCUGCUGAUGACGGUACCCCUUUAGCAAGCACCGGCUAACUCUGUGCCAGCAGCCGCGGUAAGACAGAGGGUGCAAACGUUGUUCGGAAUUACUGGGCGUAAAGCGCGUGUAGGCUGCUCGGAAAGUCGGAUGUGAAAGCCCUGGGCUCAACCCAGGAAGUGCAUUCGAAACUCCCGAGCUCGAGUUUCGGAGAGGAAGGCGGAAUUCUCGGUGUAGAGGUGAAAUUCGUAGAUAUCGAGAGGAACACCGGUGGCGAAGGCGGCCUUCUGGACGAUGACUGACGCUGAGACGCGAAAGCGUGGGGAGCAAACAGG